Molecule: ribosomal RNA, 646 nt
Filed under: Salmonella enterica subsp. enterica serovar Rubislaw
Lineage: Bacteria; Pseudomonadati; Pseudomonadota; Gammaproteobacteria; Enterobacterales; Enterobacteriaceae
Description: partial 23S ribosomal RNA
Rfam family: Bacterial large subunit ribosomal RNA
Source: RNAcentral
GGGUUGUGAGGUUAAGCGACUAAGCGUACACGGUGGAUGCCCUGGCAGUCAGAGGCGAUGAAGGACGUGCUAAUCUGCGAUAAGCGCCGGUAAGGUGAUAUGAACCGUUAUAACCGGCGAUUUCCGAAUGGGGAAACCCAGUGUGACUCGUCACACUAUCAUUAACUGAAUCCAUAGGUUAAUGAGGCGAACCGGGGGAACUGAAACAUCUAAGUACCCCGAGGAAAAGAAAUCAACCGAGAUUCCCCCAGUAGCGGCGAGCGAACGGGGAGGAGCCCAGAGCCUGAAUCAGCAUGUGUGUUAGUGGAAGCGUCUGGAAAGGCGCGCGAUACAGGGUGACAGCCCCGUACACAAAAGCGCAUAUGCUGUGAGCUCGAUGAGUAGGGCGGGACACGUGGUAUCCUGUCUGAAUAUGGGGGGACCAUCCUCCAAGGCUAAAUACUCCUGACUGACCGAUAGUGAACCAGUACCGUGAGGGAAAGGCGAAAAGAACCCCGGCGAGGGGAGUGAAAAAGAACCUGAAACCGUGUACGUACAAGCAGUGGGAGCACAGGUUUACCUGUGUGACUGCGUACCUUUUGUAUAAUGGGUCAGCGACUUAUAUUCUGUAGCAAGGUUAACCGAAUAGGGGAGCCGGAGGGAAACC